Molecule: ribosomal RNA, 235 nt
Filed under: uncultured bacterium
Lineage: Bacteria
Description: partial 16S ribosomal RNA
Rfam family: Bacterial small subunit ribosomal RNA
Source: RNAcentral
CGGACGGGUGAGUAACGCGUGGGUGACCCGCCCCAUACCGGGGGAUAACAGCUGGAAACGGCUGCUAAUACCGCAUAAGCGCACAGAGCUGCAUGGCUCAGUGUGAAAAACUCCGGUGGUAUGGGAUGGGCCCGCGUCUGAUUAGGCAGUUGGCGGGGUAACGGCCCACCAAGGCGACGAUCGGUAGCCGGACUGAGAGGUUGAACGGCCACAUUGGGACUGAGACACGGCCCAG